Molecule: long non-coding RNA, 149 nt
Organism: Helianthus annuus (common sunflower)
Lineage: Eukaryota; Viridiplantae; Streptophyta; Magnoliopsida; Asterales; Asteraceae
Exons: 3
Source: RefSeq, a predicted model, not a curated record
UAUGAAAAGUUGAAGAAAAGUUAUGGAUAAUGAAAACAAUGCUCCUUCGUUAUUAAAGUCGAUUGAGGACUAUGAUCCUAUAUUUUUCGAAUUGUUCGUCGACCAAAAACAGUUAUGGAUCAUGAAAACAAUGCUCCUUCGUUGUUAAA